UAGCUAUGUGGUGAACACAAAGCGAACUACUCUUUCGCCUUUUACUAAAGAAUACCGUGUGUUCUCCAUCUUUAAGCGGCAUGAGAACAUGAUUAAUACAUGUCUCUUAGAGUAGAGUUC
Non-coding RNA from Brassica napus (rape), 120 nucleotides. The record is from Rfam. NCBI's taxonomy places the organism in Eukaryota, Viridiplantae, Streptophyta, Magnoliopsida, Brassicales, Brassicaceae.